RNAcentral lists this unclassified non-coding RNA (776 nucleotides) under Hevea brasiliensis (rubber tree). Lineage: Eukaryota; Viridiplantae; Streptophyta; Magnoliopsida; Malpighiales; Euphorbiaceae. The record is from RNAcentral.
AAAGUACUAUUUUAAACUGAAGACAACACUAACAAUAAGGUAUUCACGUUUGUAAUUCUAUCUAUAUGUAUUAUAAAGUGAAUUUCAUCCUAAAGUUCCAAAUGAGAUCCUUCUGGAACGGUAACUGUAGCAGUAAUAAGUUGGAGAAGGCCGAGGGGAAGGUAAGUUUGAACUAAUUACUGCUGAGCUGAAUUGACUAUCACUCACAACUACAGCUGAUCAACCUUCUUUUGGUUUGGUUUUAGCCUUGACACCAUCAGGUAUGCACGAUGAACAAUAAACUGGCAACAGUGUACAUACUGCCUGUAUUAACAGGGCAUGUCCUAGGCCAGAGAAGUCCUUCGCUGUCACCUGGACAAACGAUGACAGAGCGACACCAAGAUAACCACUUAUAAUAACAGCCACAGCUAAGGCAGACAUGAGAAAUGCCAUGACAGAUCCUUCACAUCCCGGUGGGCAGAGCUGUGCCAUUAAAACAUUGAAGGGUAAGAUCUUAAAGAAGUAGAGAACCUCCAGUAAUCCGGAGAAGAGCACCACAUACAAUGAGUCAGGAAUACCAAGCAUCCUGUAUACUCCUUUCACGAAUAAGAAAUCCGAAAACAUGAAAACAGCCAUAGUAGCCUGAAUUGCUGAGAUUAGCGUCCUAGGAGACAUUGAUUUGAGGUUCUUAUUGUAGAUUAUACCCCACAACAGCAUUGCAGCCUGCCCAAAUACUUUAGAUACACCCAACACUGACGAUUCAAUACCUAAAUGUUCUGUCUGGUAAUAGAACAUUG